RNAcentral lists this ribosomal RNA (460 nucleotides) under uncultured bacterium. RNAcentral's name for it is "partial 16S ribosomal RNA". It matches the Rfam family "Bacterial small subunit ribosomal RNA", at positions 338 to 795 of the family's 1533-position model. The record is from RNAcentral.
CCUCCGGGAGGCAGCAGUGAGGAAUAUUGGUCAAUGGACGAGAGUCUGAACCAGCCAAGCCGCGUGAAGGAUGACUGUCCUAUGGGUUGUAAACUUCUUUUAUAUGGGAAUAAAAUGUUCCUCGUGUGGGAUCUUGUAUGUACCAUAUGAAUAAGGAUCGGCUAACUCCGUGCCAGCAGCCGCGGUAAUACGGAGGAUCCGAGCGUUAUCCGGAUUUAUUGGGUUUAAAGGGAGAGUAGGUGGAUUGUUAAGUCAGUUGUGAAAGUUUGCGGCUCAACCGUAAAAUUGCAGUUGAAACUGGCAGUCGUGAGUACAGUAGAGGUGAGCGGAAUUCGUGGUGUAGCGGUGAAAUGCUUAGAUAUCGCGAAGAACUCCGAUUGCGAAGGCAACUCACUGGACUGCAACUGACACUGAGGCUCGAAAGUGUGGGUAUCAAACAGGAUUAGAUACCCCUGUAGUC